GACGAACGCUGGCGGCGUGCUUAACACAUGCAAGUCGAACGGAAAGGCCCUGCUUUUGUGGGGUGCUCGAGUGGCGAACGGGUGAGUAACACGUGAGUAACCUGCCCUUGACUUUGGGAUAACUUCAGGAAACUGGGGCUAAUACCGGAUAGGAGCUCCUGCUGCAUGGUGGGGGUUGGAAAGUUUCGGCGGUUGGGGAUGGACUCGCGGCUUAUCAGCUUGUUGGUGGGGUAGUGGCUUACCAAGGCUUUGACGGGUAGCCGGCCUGAGAGGGUGACCGGCCACAUUGGGACUGAGAUACGGCCCAGACUCCUACGGGAGGCAGCAGUGUGGAAUAUUGCACAAUGGGCGGAAGCCUGAUGCAGCAACGCCGCGUGCGGGAUGACGGCCUUCGGGUUGUAAACCGCUUUCGCCUGUGACGAAGCGUGAGUGACUGUAAUGGGUAAAGAAGCACCGGCUAACUACGUG
RNAcentral lists this ribosomal RNA (468 nucleotides) under uncultured bacterium. Its description in RNAcentral is "partial 16S ribosomal RNA". It matches the Rfam family "Bacterial small subunit ribosomal RNA", at positions 28 to 507 of the family's 1533-position model. The record is from RNAcentral.